This is a non-coding RNA of Hypsizygus marmoreus, 84 nucleotides long. The record is from Rfam. NCBI's taxonomy places the organism in Eukaryota, Fungi, Basidiomycota, Agaricomycetes, Agaricales, Lyophyllaceae.
GGCCUUGUAGUCUAGAGGUACGAUACUUGCUUUGGGCUUUCCAGGCGACUGCAAGUGGCCUGGGUUCGAUUCCCAGCAAGGCCC